Molecule: ribosomal RNA, 505 nt
Filed under: uncultured bacterium
Lineage: Bacteria
Description: partial 16S ribosomal RNA
Rfam family: Bacterial small subunit ribosomal RNA
Source: RNAcentral
GACGAACGCUGGCGGCGUGCCUAAUACAUGCAAGUAGAACGCACAAUGUAUACCGUAGCUUGCUACACCAUACACUGUGAGUUGCGAACGGGAGAGUCACGCGUAGGUAACCUGCCUGGUAGCGGGGGAUAACUAUUGGAAACGAAAGCUAAUACAGCAUAAAAUUGAUUAUUCCACGUUAAUUGCUUUAACAGUGCUAUUUCAUCCCUAUCAGCUGGUCCUGCGUUGUAUUAGCUAGUAGGUGAGGUAACGGCUCACCUAGGCGACGAUACAUAGCCGACCUGAGAGGGGGAUUGGCCACACUGGGACUUAGACACGGCCCAGACUCCUACGGGAGGCAGCAGUAGGGAAUCUUCGGCAAUGGAGGAAAGUCUGACCGAGCAACGGCGCGUGAGUGAAGAAGGGUUUCGGAUCGUAAAGCUCGGUUGUAAGAGAAGAACGGGGGGGAGAGUGGAAAGUUCACACUGUGACGGUAUCUUAACAGAAAGGGACGGCUAACUACGUG